Molecule: ribosomal RNA, 500 nt
Filed under: uncultured bacterium
Lineage: Bacteria
Description: partial 16S ribosomal RNA
Rfam family: Bacterial small subunit ribosomal RNA
Source: RNAcentral
AUUGAACGCUGGCGGCAUGCCUUACACAUGCAAGUCGAACGGCAGCACGGGAGCAAUCCUGGUGGCGAGUGGCGAACGGGUGAGUAAUAUAUCGGAACGUGCCCAGUCGUGGGGGAUAACGCAGCGAAAGCUGUGCUAAUACCGCAUACGAUCUACGGAUGAAAGCGGGGGAUCGCAAGACCUCGCGCGAUUGGAGCGGCCGAUAUCAGAUUAGCUAGUUGGGGAGGUAAAGGCUCACCAAGGCGACGAUCUGUAGCUGGUCUGAGAGGACGACCAGCCACACUGGAACUGAGACACGGUCCAGACUCCUACGGGAGGCAGCAGUGGGGAAUUUUGGACAAUGGGCGCAAGCCUGAUCCAGCAAUGCCGCGUGCAGGAUGAAGGCCUUCGGGUUGUAAACUGCUUUUGUACGGAACGAAACGGUGAGCUCUAAUACAGUUUGCUAAUGACGGUACCGUAAGAAUAAGCACCGGCUAACUACGUGCCAGCAGCCGCAGUAA